CUCACCCUCAGUAUUUAGAUGAUACAAGUUCUUCAAGUUUAGUUUUCCUCUGUGCAGCUGUGUCUUCAUCUUUCUCAAUUAGAGAAGCAACAUUAGAGUUCCUUGGGGGAGACUAUGACAGAAAGCCGAUAUCCUCUGUACUGAGCAAUGAAUGCUGGAGAUAUAAAGAAAUUCAGGCUGUGUCUCCAUCAGAUCUGUCCAUGAUCAUUCUUUGCUACAGCCUGGUGCUCUCUCACCUUUACAUUAUUUCAAGGCCGUGUCUGACAACUUGACUUUGUUACUUCAGAGUAGAAGGUGUCUGAGACUGUUUUUGAUAUCAUCUUUACAUGGGAGUUGGUUGGUUAAAGGACACAUCGCCCAGACGUUGAUGGAGCUAGAGGACCUAUCCUGGACAUCAUGUACAGAGAAGAUGGAUCCCGGGAGCUGCUGGAGCCAGUAGGACCAGGCAUGCAGAGGAGAUAGAUGCAGGCAGCUGAUGGAACCAGGAGGACCAGUCAUGAAAUGGAGAUGGAUGAAGUCAGCUGAUGGAGCCAAGAGGACCAGUGAUGCAGAGAAGAUUGAUCCAAUGAGCCAAUGGAAUCUGGAGGACCAGACAGGGCCU
RNAcentral lists this long non-coding RNA (601 nucleotides) under Cricetulus griseus (Chinese hamster). RNAcentral describes it as "lncRNA (ENSCGRG00015011254.2)". The record is from RNAcentral. Lineage: Eukaryota; Metazoa; Chordata; Mammalia; Rodentia; Cricetidae.